UAAUAGUCCAACAGCAUAUAUAGAAAGGAAAAAUAGAUAGCACGUUGGACUUCUAAUCCAAAGGUCGUGGGUUCAAAUCCCAUCUGUCAAGGAA
Molecule: non-coding RNA, 94 nt
Organism: Trichonephila clavipes
Lineage: Eukaryota; Metazoa; Arthropoda; Arachnida; Araneae; Nephilidae
Source: the annotation of a GenBank genome assembly